This 76-nucleotide transfer RNA is filed under the name Pseudomonas amygdali pv. lachrymans str. M301315. RNAcentral describes it as "tRNA-Gly". It matches the Rfam family "tRNA". From Rfam's summary of the family: Transfer RNA (tRNA) molecules are approximately 80 nucleotides in length. Their secondary structure includes four short double-helical elements and three loops (D, anti-codon, and T loops). Further hydrogen bonds mediate the characteristic L-shaped molecular structure. tRNAs have two regions of fundamental functional importance: the anti-codon, which is responsible for specific mRNA codon recognition, and the 3' end, to which the tRNAs corresponding amino acid is attached (by aminoacyl-tRNA synthetases). tRNAs cope with the degeneracy of the genetic code in two manners: having more than one tRNA (with a specific anti-codon) for a particular amino acid; and 'wobble' base-pairing, i.e. permitting non-standard base-pairing at the 3rd anti-codon position. The record is from RNAcentral. Lineage: Bacteria; Pseudomonadati; Pseudomonadota; Gammaproteobacteria; Pseudomonadales; Pseudomonadaceae.
GCGGCAAUAACUCAGUUGGUAGAGUCUCAGCUUUCCAAGCUGUUGGUCACGGGUUCGAGUCCCGUUUGCCGCUCCA